UACGUAGGGUGCAAGCGUUAAUCGGAAUUACUGGGCGUAAAGCGUGCGCAGGCGGUUUUGUAAGUCUGUCGUGAAAUCCCCGGGCUCAACCUGGGAAUUACGAUGGAGACUGCAAGGCUAGAAUCUGGCAGAGGGGGGUAGAAUUCCACGUGUAGCAGUGAAAUGCGUAGAGAUGUGGAGGAACACCGAUGGCGAAGGCAGCCCCCUGGGUCAAGAUUGACGCUCAUGCACGAAAGCGUGGGGAGCAAACAGG
Molecule: ribosomal RNA, 253 nt
Filed under: uncultured bacterium
Lineage: Bacteria
Description: partial 16S ribosomal RNA
Rfam family: Bacterial small subunit ribosomal RNA
Source: RNAcentral